AAUCAACGCUGGCGGCGUGCCUAACACAUGCAAGUCGAACGAGAAAGUGACUUCGGUCACUGGACAGUGGCGUCCGGGUGAGUAACACGUGGGUAAUCUACCUUCGGGUGGGGAAUAACGUCUCGAAAGAGACGCUAAUACCGCAUAAUGCAGCGGCACCUUAUGGUGAAUAGUUGUUAAAGCGGGGGAUCGCAAGACCUCGCGCCUGAAGAGGAGCCUGCGGCAGAUAGCUUGUUGGUGAGGUAAUGGCUCACCAAGGCUGCGAUCUGUAGCUGGUCUGAGAGGACGGCCAGCCACACUGGCACUGACACACGGGCCAGACUCCUACGGGAGGCAGCA
This 339-nucleotide ribosomal RNA is filed under the name uncultured bacterium. Its description in RNAcentral is "bacterial SSU rRNA". It matches the Rfam family "Bacterial small subunit ribosomal RNA", at positions 32 to 353 of the family's 1533-position model. The record is from RNAcentral.